Molecule: ribosomal RNA, 539 nt
Filed under: uncultured bacterium
Lineage: Bacteria
Description: bacterial SSU rRNA
Rfam family: Bacterial small subunit ribosomal RNA
Source: RNAcentral
AGAGUUUGAUCAUGGCUCAGAAUCAACGCUGGCGGCGUGCCUAACACAUGCAAGUCGAACGCGAAAAUCCCGAAAGGGAUGAGUAGAGUGGCAAACGGGUGAGUAACGCGUGAGUGACCUGCCUUCGAGCGGGGGAUAACGUCCCGAAAGGGACGCUAAUACCGCAUAACAUCCUGCCUUUCAAAAGGUGGAGAUCAAAGCUGGGGAUCGCAAGACCUAGCACUUGAAGAGGGGCCCGCGUCUGAUUAGCUAGUUGGUGAGGUAACGGCUCACCAAGGCGACGAUCAGUAUCCGGCCUGAGAGGGCGGACGGACACACUGGGACUGAGACACGGCCCAGACUCCUACGGGAGGCAGCAGUGGGGAAUUGUUCGCAAUGGGCGCAAGCCUGACGACGCAACGCCGCGUGGAGGAUGAAGACCUUCGGGUCGUAAACUCCUUUCGAUCGAGACGAAUGGCCUCCGGGUGAACAAUCCGGAGGAGUGACGGUACCGAGAGAAGAAGCCCCGGCUAACUCCGUGCCAGCAGCGGCGGUAAUUC